Molecule: ribosomal RNA, 468 nt
Filed under: uncultured bacterium
Lineage: Bacteria
Description: partial 16S ribosomal RNA
Rfam family: Bacterial small subunit ribosomal RNA
Source: RNAcentral
GACGAACGCUGGCGGCGUGCUUAACACAUGCAAGUCGAACGGAAAGGCCCUGCUUUUGUUGGGUGCUCGAUUGGCGAACGGGUGAGUAACACGUGAGUAACCUGCCCUUUACUUUGGGAUAACUUCAGGAAACUUGGGCUAAUACCGGAUAGGAGCUCCUGCUGCAUGGUGGGGGUUGGAAAGUUUCGGCGGUUGGGGAUGGACUCGCGGCUUAUCAGCUUGUUGGUGGGGUAGUGGCUUACCAAGGCUUUGACGGGUAGCCGGCCUGAGAGGGUGACCGGCAACAUUGGGACUGAGAUACGGCACAGACUCCAACGGGAGGCAGCAGUGGGGAAUAGUGCAGAAUGGGAGGAAGCCUGAUGCAGCAACGCCGCGUGCGGGAUGACGGCCUUCGGGUUGUAAACAGCUUUAGCCUGUGACGAAGAGUGAGUGACGGUAAUGGGUAAAGAAGCACCGGCUAACUACGUG